This 1077-nucleotide ribosomal RNA is filed under the name Triticum aestivum (bread wheat). Its description in RNAcentral is "partial small subunit ribosomal RNA". Lineage: Eukaryota; Viridiplantae; Streptophyta; Magnoliopsida; Poales; Poaceae. The record is from RNAcentral.
AUGGCGGUGGAGUGGUCGGACGGCGGCGAGGAGUUCCUGCUUCCCGACGAGUUCUUGGACGACGACUUCUUCUCCGAGGAGGAGAAGGCCGCGGUGGCCGCGCGGAGCGAGAGUGAUGAGGAAGACAGCUUGGCCGGCCUCUCGCGCCGCCUAGCCGGCCUCCUCGGCGGCGACAAACUCGCCGUCACGCCUGCCAAGGAGGAGGUGACUGCGGGGUCGCCGAAGUCGACGCUGUGUGGGCUGCCUAAGUCGGGCCAGGAGAGCCCCAACAGCGGCGCGUCCCAGGGGAACUCGCCGCCGUCGUCCCCGCUGGAGCAGCAGCCGGCAGACCCGUGGGACGUCCUCUACGAGGCUGCCUGGCAGGUCAACAGCAUCCCGGCGCCGGGCCACCCCUACGUCUUGCACGGCCGCGGUGGCUUCGUGCCGCCUGCGCGGAAGGCCUCGCCUCCGCCGCCGCCGCCUCACGUGCCUGCGCCGGCCGGCACGGCCGCGGGCGGCGUGUACUACCACCCUUUCGCGCACCUCAUCACGCAGCGCCAGAUACAGGCUGCCAGGUUUCAUCUCCUCAAACAGCAGCAGCUCUUCAAGCAGCAGAGGGACCGGCAGCUGGCCGCGGCCGCCGCAUGGGGCGUGCGCCGUAACGCGGCAGCCAAGAGGGCCGGCGCCGCUCCUAUCGACCUGAGCCCGGCGUCGUUCCCGCCGCUGCUGAAGACGCAGCUGCAGCACACGCCUGCACCCCAUCCCACCCAUCCCGCCGCCGCCGGCAUGCGGGCCGUGUUCCUCACGCCGCCCGGUGCCAAGCGCGAGCGCAACGGCACCGGCGUCUUCCUCCCGCGCCCGGCCGGCGCCCCCGCGGAGCCCAGGAAGAAGUCUGGCUGCUCGACGGUUCUUGUCCCCGCCCGUGUCGUGCAUGCUCUGAAUCUCAACCUGGACGACCUCGGCGCCCAGCCUCGCUACGCCGGCGGCAUCGUUCUUGAUCAUGAGGCCUUGAUCAGUCGGAGCAACGCCAUGCUCGCAAGCCAGAAGAUGCGGGCUGCGGAGAGCUCGGCGCCGCCGGCGCUCUGCCACAGUUCGUGA